This 244-nucleotide unclassified non-coding RNA is filed under the name plant metagenome. Its description in RNAcentral is "partial contains small subunit ribosomal RNA, internal transcribed spacer 1, and 5.8S ribosomal RNA". The record is from RNAcentral.
UCUCCGUUGGUGAACCAGCGGAGGGAUCAUUACCGAGUUUACAACUCCCAAACCCAAUGUGAACCAUACCAAACUGUUACCUCGGCGGGGUCACGCCCCGGGUGCGUCGCAGCCCCGGAACCAGGCGCCCGCCGGAGGGACCAACCAAACUCUUUCUGUAGUCCCCUCGCGGACGUUAUUUUUACAGCUCUGAGCAAAAAUUCAAAAUGAAUCAAAACUUUCAACAACGGAUCUCUUGGUUCUG